Non-coding RNA from Phyllosticta capitalensis, 117 nucleotides. NCBI's taxonomy places the organism in Eukaryota, Fungi, Ascomycota, Dothideomycetes, Botryosphaeriales, Phyllostictaceae. The record is from the annotation of a GenBank genome assembly.
GGGGGUGUGGCGCAACGGUAGCGCGUCAGAUUCCAGAGAAAAUGGCUUUCAUAGCUCUUAUGGUGGUCAUAACAUGGGAUUUCCUGAAGGUUGAGCGUUCAAAUCGCUCCAUCCUCA